This 383-nucleotide unclassified non-coding RNA is filed under the name Hevea brasiliensis (rubber tree). The record is from RNAcentral. Lineage: Eukaryota; Viridiplantae; Streptophyta; Magnoliopsida; Malpighiales; Euphorbiaceae.
ACCAAAGAUGCCAUUCCUUGCGAAUGGGUUGGUUCUCAGGUGGUUGAUGACUUGCCGAAGUCUGUGACGAGCAUAAGUGGUGGUGAAUCCGAGUCCCCGAAUCUGCAGUCUACCCAUCAGGAAGUCAAAGAGAGUAAUCAAUCCUCAAAGACUUGUAGUAAUGCUGCUGUGGAUGCCAUGGUGUCGGACGAUGCAUGUACUAGGAAGGAUGGCUCUCAUUCGGGUUUUGAUGAUGACUGCCAGUCGGUGAAUUCUGCCAAUGAUAAGAAUGGUUUGGUACACGAGCAGCAACAUGUAGUUGUGUCCGAUGAAACUGUAAAAGAACAAGGCAUUUCCGCUUCGGUUGCAGCAUCAGUUGGAAAUGGUUCAGAUGCUGAAACCAA